UUGGAACCGGGAGAGGUAAGAGGUACGUACAGGGGUAGGAGUGAAAUCUUGUAAUCCCUGUGGGACCACCUGUGGCGAAGGCGUCUUACCAGAACGGGUUCGACGGUGAGGGACGAAAGCUGGGGGCACGAACCGGAUUAGAUACCCGGGUAGUCCCAGCCGUAAACGAUGCUCGCUAGGUGUCAGGCAUGGCGCGACCGUGUCUGGUGCCGCAGGGAAGCCGUGAAGCGAGCCACCUGGGAAGUACGGCCGCAAGGCUGAAACUUAAAGGAAUUGGCGGGGGAGCACAACAACGGGUGGAGUCCCUGCGGUUUAAUUGGACUCAACGCCGGUACAACUCACCGGGGGCGACAGCAAUAUGUAGGCCAAGCUGAAGACUUUGCCUGAAUCGCUGAGAGGAGGUGCAUGG
RNAcentral lists this ribosomal RNA (409 nucleotides) under uncultured archaeon. Its description in RNAcentral is "bacterial SSU rRNA". It matches the Rfam family "Archaeal small subunit ribosomal RNA", at positions 593 to 997 of the family's 1478-position model. The record is from RNAcentral.